RNAcentral lists this ribosomal RNA (464 nucleotides) under uncultured bacterium. Its description in RNAcentral is "partial 16S ribosomal RNA". It matches the Rfam family "Bacterial small subunit ribosomal RNA", at positions 339 to 795 of the family's 1533-position model. The record is from RNAcentral.
CUACGGGUCGCUGCAGUGGGGAAUAUUGCGCAAUGGGCGAAAGCCUGACGCAGCGACGCCGCGUGGAGGAUGAAGGUCUUCGGAUUGUAAACUCCUGUCAGAUGGGAAGAAAGGCUUAUGUUUAAUAGAUAUAGGAUAUGACGGUACCAUCAGAGGAAGCACCGGCUAACUUCGUGCCAGCAGCCGCGGUAAUACGAAGGGUGCGAGCGUUAUUCGGAAUCACUGGGCGUAAAGGGUGCGUAGACGGUAUGUUAAGUUCGUUGUUAAAGGCUCCGGCCUAACCGGAGUAUUGCAAUGAAAACUGGCAGGCUAGAGGGUGAGAGAGAGAAGUGGAAUUCCCGGAGUAGCGGUAAAAUGCGUGGAUCUCGGGAGGAACACCAAUGGCGAAGGCAGCUUCUUGGCUCAUUCCUGACGUUGAGGCACGAAAGCGUGGGGAGCAAACAGGAUUAGAUACCCGCGUAGUC